This is a long non-coding RNA of Eucalyptus grandis, 1038 nucleotides long. RefSeq lists it as uncharacterized. The record is from RefSeq and is a predicted model, not a curated record. NCBI's taxonomy places the organism in Eukaryota, Viridiplantae, Streptophyta, Magnoliopsida, Myrtales, Myrtaceae. The transcript has 3 exons.
AGGACUUAGAAGAUCUUGAAAUCUUUGAGUCGGAAUUGCCAAAUACGACCACGGAGUCAAGCUCGAUGUUGUCUUCUCUUGAUGAUUGACGUAUUAGAGCUUUGGACAGAAAAUGUUAUCUUUUCACUUGAAGAUCCCAUGUGGCCAAGAACGAGUCUUUGGUCUUUAGGGUGGAUUUGGCCACUGCAGUGAGGUUCAAGGUCAUGGUUUGGAAGACCAAGAGGUAUAAGGUAAUAGUGGUGGGUGCUAAUGUGACUCUCAAUGAUCAGUCUGCUAAGAAUUUAGGGGGUUGUUGCUUUUGGCAGGUGGGGACUUUUGCUGUUGCUUUAGCUUUGAUUUUGCUUGACUAAGGGCUGAGUUGGACUCUCCCUUGUGUGAGGAAGGCUGAGAAUGAGAUUAAUUUUCUGGUAUUCCUGGAUAGUGGGCAGUGUUGGUUAAUGUUUGCAUUAGAAAUGAGUGUUGGUUAGCGUUUGGAUUGGAAAUGAUUUAUUUAAUGGAAGAGGGAAAAAAUCAUUGUUUUGGGAUGGUUUCGUUGAAUGAAGAUUUGAAUGAAUCAUGGUGUUUGGUUCUUAUGAUAUGUAGUCCUUAUCCUUCAUUAUAUUGAGUUCUUCGGGGUUGUUCAGAUUCCUGGUCUUUGCAAACAGAGUGAAUUUUGUUUGCCUUCUUAAAAUUCUCGUGUGAAAGACUGCAUUGGGAGGAGAAUCUGGUUUUGUUAAUUUUUGUGUAUCUUUGGUGUGUGUCAGAUCAAUAGCAUGAGAUUCUUGCUGCACAAGAUGUUACUACAAAAUUAGACAGCUCGAUUCUCCAUGUGUAAAACCCUUUUCAGCAUAUUUACCGAGCUCGCCAUACCUUAUGAAUUAUUGGGCAUUGGCAAGAAGUGCAGCUUUUCUUAUUUCCGAUUCUCUAGCAUCUUCUUUUUCAAUUGUAUGAAUGUAUUUCUUAAAUAUUUACUUCUCUCCGACCCCAUUUUAACUUCUUUCUUUUCCCCACAUGCAUAUGCUUGUGCUCAUUUGUAGAAGAUACAUUCAUUUGCGGCCC